UACGUAGGUGGCAAGCGUUGUCCGGAAUUAUUGGGCGUAAAGCGCGCGCAGGCGGUCCUUUAAGUCUGAUGUGAAAGCCCACGGCUCAACCGUGGAGGGUCAUUGGAAACUGGGGGACUUGAGUGCAGAAGAGGAGAGUGGAAUUCCACGUGUAGCGGUGAAAUGCGUAGAUAUCUGGAGGAACACCGGUGGCGAAGGCGGCAUCCUGGACCGGUAUUGACGCUGAGGCGCGAAAGCUAGGGGAGCAAACGGG
RNAcentral lists this ribosomal RNA (253 nucleotides) under uncultured bacterium. RNAcentral describes it as "partial 16S ribosomal RNA". It matches the Rfam family "Bacterial small subunit ribosomal RNA", at positions 524 to 776 of the family's 1533-position model. The record is from RNAcentral.